AACGCUGGCGGCGUGCCUAACACAUGCAAGUCGAACGAGAAAGUGGAGCAAUCCAUGAGUAAAGUGGCGACCGGGUGAGUAACACGUGACUAACCUACCCUUGAAUGGGGAAUAACCUUCCGAAAGGAGGGCUAAUACCGCAUAAAGUCCUAAGGAUGAAACGCCUAAGGACCAAAGGAGCAAUUCGUUUAAGGAGGGGGUCGCGGUUGAUUAGCUAGUUGGUGGGGUAAUGGCCCACCAAGGCGAUGAUCAAUAGCCGGCCUGAGAGGGCGCACGGCCACACUGGAACUGAAACACGGUCCAGACUCCUACGGGAGGCAGCAGUGGGGAAUUUUGCGCAAUGGGGGAAACCCUGACGCAGCAACGCCGCGUGGAGGAUGAAGGUCUUUGGAUUGUAAACUCCUUUCGAUCGGGAAGAUUAUGACGGUACCGGAAGAAGAAGC
RNAcentral lists this ribosomal RNA (443 nucleotides) under uncultured bacterium. RNAcentral's name for it is "bacterial SSU rRNA". It matches the Rfam family "Bacterial small subunit ribosomal RNA", at positions 32 to 491 of the family's 1533-position model. The record is from RNAcentral.